CCUACGGGGGGCAGCAGUGGGGAAUAUUGGACAAUGGGCGAAAGCCUGAUCCAGCCAUGCCGCGUGUGUGAAGAAGGCCUUCGGGUUGUAAAGCACUUUCAGUGGGGAAGAAAGCCUUGGGGCUAAUACCCUCGAGGAAGGACAUCACCCACAGAAGAAGCACCGGCUAACUCCGUGCCAGCAGCCGCGGUAAUACGGAGGGUGCGAGCGUUAAUCGGAAUUACUGGGCGUAAAGCGCGCGUAGGCGGUCUGAUAAGCCGGUUGUGAAAGCCCCGGGCUCAACCUGGGAACGGCAUCCGGAACUGUCAGGCUAGAGUGCAGGAGAGGAAGGUAGAAUUCCCGGUGUAGCGGUGAAAUGCGUAGAGAUCGGGAGGAAUACCAGUGGCGAAGCGGUCUUCUGGACUGACACUGACGCUGAGGUGCGAAAGCGUGGGUAGCAAACAGGAUUAGAUACCCGAGUAGUC
Molecule: ribosomal RNA, 464 nt
Filed under: Vreelandella stevensii
Lineage: Bacteria; Pseudomonadati; Pseudomonadota; Gammaproteobacteria; Oceanospirillales; Halomonadaceae
Description: partial 16S ribosomal RNA
Rfam family: Bacterial small subunit ribosomal RNA
Source: RNAcentral